This 675-nucleotide ribosomal RNA is filed under the name Bacillus licheniformis. RNAcentral's name for it is "bacterial SSU rRNA". It matches the Rfam family "Bacterial small subunit ribosomal RNA", at positions 1 to 657 of the family's 1533-position model. Lineage: Bacteria; Bacillati; Bacillota; Bacilli; Caryophanales; Bacillaceae. The record is from RNAcentral.
UUCAUGGAGAGUUUGAUCCUGGCUCAGGACGAACGCUGGCGGCGUGCCUAAUACAUGCAAGUCGAGCGGACCGACGGGAGCUUGCUCCCUUAGGUCAGCGGCGGACGGGUGAGUAACACGUGGGUAACCUGCCUGUAAGACUGGGAUAACUCCGGGAAACCGGGGCUAAUACCGGAUGCUUGAUUGAACCGCAUGGUUCAAUCAUAAAAGGUGGCUUUUAGCUACCACUUACAGAUGGACCCGCGGCGCAUUAGCUAGUUGGUGAGGUAACGGCUCACCAAGGCGACGAUGCGUAGCCGACCUGAGAGGGUGAUCGGCCACACUGGGACUGAGACACGGCCCAGACUCCUACGGGAGGCAGCAGUAGGGAAUCUUCCGCAAUGGACGAAAGUCUGACGGAGCAACGCCGCGUGAGUGAUGAAGGUUUUCGGAUCGUAAAACUCUGUUGUUAGGGAAGAACAAGUACCGUUCGAAUAGGGCGGCACCUUGACGGUACCUAACCAGAAAGCCACGGCUAACUACGUGCCAGCAGCCGCGGUAAUACGUAGGUGGCAAGCGUUGUCCGGAAUUAUUGGGCGUAAAGCGCGCGCAGGCGGUUUCUUAAGUCUGAUGUGAAAGCCCCCGGCUCAACCGGGGAGGGUCAUUGGAAACUGGGGAACUUGAGUGCAGAAGAGG